UUGAUUUUCUUCAUUCCUAGUUACACUGACUGAUAGAAUUGUGAAGUGCUCUGUGGGUGCAGAACAGGAGGCUUUUUCAAGCCCUUUUACUUAGACAUGUCAUGUGAUACUGCUCUUUUGGAAUGCUGUGCUACACGUAGUGGUAAUUGUAUAAGGUUAAUCAGAGUACGUGAAAUUCUUGGUGCUGAAUUUAGGAUGUCUUUGAGAUUGUUGGGGAAAUACAUUUUAUGCCUGCUCCUUAGUACUACAGUUUUGUUUUAUACUUAAUUUAUUCAAGUUAGCCAUUUUCAGUUUAGUUUAUUGAGUGUUAUAAUUUAUUACCUAUAUACCAGGUGUUAAUAAGUAAGAUGUGUGUUUAUUUCUGAGCUAAAGAUAAAAUAUGUCAUGUUGAUAUAUCUUUCACUGGAAAUGAAUGGUGGACAGGAAGGAAUUUUCAACUUAAGGUUUGGAUAUGAAACUGAUUUUACUGUAUGGAUUGCAAAUAUGACAUAAUAACUAAAUUGUUAGUAAUAUUGCUACGUUGAUUGUAAACUGCAGAUGAGUGAGGUCACAUGUUUCCAUCUCUCCGCGAUGACUGCGUGCGGUUAAUGCGGUAUUUCCACUCACCUGUCUAUUUUCUAGUGAGUUCUCUGGUGUUGCUGGGAAUAAGGGGGUGAAGGAAGGAGCUCCUAUUCUAGUCUGCUAGUUCUCUGUCUCUCGCCUCUCCCUGUCUUCUAUGUUCCUUACAUGUAUAUACAUAUAUGUAUGUGUUUAUAAUAGGUAUCUGAUCAUUGGAAUAAAAUGAACUCAAG
This 791-nucleotide long non-coding RNA is filed under the name Mus musculus (house mouse). RNAcentral's name for it is "long non-coding RNA chr3:82394472-82395263". The record is from RNAcentral. Lineage: Eukaryota; Metazoa; Chordata; Mammalia; Rodentia; Muridae.